UUGGGAAGAAAAUUAGAAUACAUCUGUAUAUACGUCAAAGAGUUAUAGUCGAGCUUUUAAGACCUCGAGCUUGCUAGAGUCACGAGCUUUGAUCAAGUUUUAGCUUGGAUAGAUUAGAAUUCGAGUUGGUCUUAUAAUAAGCCUAAGACGAGCCGAUCGAACUAGUUCAUGAAUCUUGAACUUCGUUGACAGCAUCACAGGCGCAUCUUUUUUUAAAAGAUCUACUAGUAGCUACAAACUUCUGGCGUGCAUUAUAACCUGUAGAUGCAAAACUUGCUACAAGUAAUAUGAAAAGGGACAGGCAGAAAUCUUUCCAAAAAAUAGCUCAGACCUUUUGUUUUGAUUGCAAAUGUACAUAAUGUUUUUAAUCCAUCCCCCCCCCCCCCCUCCACACACACACACACACAAAUGCUUGAGCACAAAUAUCUUAAAAUCUAAACUAUUGAAAGUUCAACCAACAUACGUUGCACCAUUGCAUCCAUAUUUUAAGACAUAUCUCGUGCAAACCAAAUACCUUGUA
This 520-nucleotide long non-coding RNA is filed under the name Setaria viridis. RNAcentral describes it as "long non-coding RNA (SVIR_LNC002857)". The record is from RNAcentral. Lineage: Eukaryota; Viridiplantae; Streptophyta; Magnoliopsida; Poales; Poaceae.